CAGUAGCCGCGGUAAUACAGAGGGUGCAAGCGUUAAUCGGAAUUACUGGGCGUAAAGCGCGCGUAGGUGGUUUGUUAAGUUGGAUGUGAAAUCCCCGGGCUCAACCUGGGAACUGCAUUCAAAACUGACUGACUAGAGUAUGGUAGAGGGUGGUGGAAUUUCCUGUGUAGCGGUGAAAUGCGUAGAUAUAGGAAGGAACACCAGUGGCGAAGGCGACCACCUGGACUAAUACUGACACUGAGGUGCGAAAGCGUGGGGAGCAAACAGGAUUAGAUACCCCAGUAGUCCCUGUCUCUUAUAU
This 301-nucleotide ribosomal RNA is filed under the name uncultured bacterium. Its description in RNAcentral is "partial 16S ribosomal RNA". It matches the Rfam family "Bacterial small subunit ribosomal RNA", at positions 509 to 809 of the family's 1533-position model. The record is from RNAcentral.